GGAGAGGUCGCCUAGUCUGGCCUAUGAGCGCGCGCCUGGAGAGCGCGUAGGGAGCGUAAGCCCUCGUGGGUUCGAAUCCCACCCUCUCCGCCA
RNAcentral lists this transfer RNA (93 nucleotides) under Dehalococcoidia bacterium. RNAcentral describes it as "tRNA-Ser". It matches the Rfam family "tRNA". From Rfam's summary of the family: Transfer RNA (tRNA) molecules are approximately 80 nucleotides in length. Their secondary structure includes four short double-helical elements and three loops (D, anti-codon, and T loops). Lineage: Bacteria; Bacillati; Chloroflexota; Dehalococcoidia. The record is from RNAcentral.